AUACGUAGGGGGCGAGCGUUGUCCGGAAUGAUUGGGCGUAAAGGGCGCGUAGGCGGCCCGGUAAGUCUGGAGUGAAAGUCCUGUUUUUAAGAUGGGAAUUGCUUUGGAUACUGUCGGGCUUGAGUGCAGGAGAGGUAAGUGGAAUUCCCAGUGUAGCGGUGAAAUGCGUAGAGAUUGGGAGGAACACCAGUGGCGAAGGCGACUUACUGGACUGUAACUGACGCUGAGGCGCGAAAGUGUGGUGAGCAAACAGGAUUAGAUUCCCUGGUAGUCCACGCCGUAAACGAUGAGUGCUAAGUGUUGGAGGGUUUCCGCCCUUCAGUGCUGCAGCUAACGCAUUAAGCACUCCGCCUGGGGAGUACGGCCGCAAGGCUGAAACUCAAAGGAAUUGACGGGG
RNAcentral lists this ribosomal RNA (397 nucleotides) under uncultured bacterium. Its description in RNAcentral is "partial 16S ribosomal RNA". It matches the Rfam family "Bacterial small subunit ribosomal RNA", at positions 523 to 918 of the family's 1533-position model. The record is from RNAcentral.